This 72-nucleotide transfer RNA is filed under the name Camelus bactrianus (Bactrian camel). It matches the Rfam family "tRNA". Rfam says of the family: Transfer RNA (tRNA) molecules are approximately 80 nucleotides in length. The record is from Rfam by way of RNAcentral. RNAcentral also lists the same sequence under 2 other names. Lineage: Eukaryota; Metazoa; Chordata; Mammalia; Artiodactyla; Camelidae.
GUGGGUAUAGCUCGGUGGUAGAGCAUAUGCUUAGCAUGCAUGAGGUCCUGGGUUCAAUCCCAAGUACCUCCA